GCGGAUGUGGUGGAAUUGGUAGACACGCCAGCUUGAGGGGCUGGUGAGCGAAAGCUCGUGGGGGUUCAAGUCCCCCCAUCCGCA
Molecule: transfer RNA, 84 nt
Organism: Shewanella pealeana ATCC 700345
Lineage: Bacteria; Pseudomonadati; Pseudomonadota; Gammaproteobacteria; Alteromonadales; Shewanellaceae
Rfam family: tRNA
About the family: Transfer RNA (tRNA) molecules are approximately 80 nucleotides in length. Their secondary structure includes four short double-helical elements and three loops (D, anti-codon, and T loops).
Source: Rfam